AUUGAACGCUGGCGGCAGGCUUAACACAUGCAAGUCGAGCGGGGGAAGGUAGCUUGCUACCGGACCUAGCGGCGGACGGGUGAGUAAUGCUUAGGAAUCUGCCUAUUAGUGGGGGACAACAUCUCGAAAGGGAUGCUAAUACCGCCUACGUCCUACGGGAGAAAGCAGGGGAUCUUCGGACCUUGCGCUAAUAGAUGAGCCUAAGUCGGAUUAGCUAGUUGGUGGGGUAAAGGCCUACCAAGGCGACGAUCUGUAGCGGGUCUGAGAGGAUGAUCCGCCACACUGGGACUGAGACACGGCCCAGACUCCUACGGGAGGCGGCAGUGGGGAUUAUUGGACAAUGGGGGGAACCCUGAUCCAGCCAUGCCGCGUGUGUGAAGAAGGCCUUAUGGUUGUAAAGCACUUUAAGCGAGGAGGAGGCUACUCUAGUUAAUACCUAGGGAUAGUGGACGUUACUCGCAGAAUAAGCACCGGCUAACUCUGUGCCAGCCGCCGCUGUAA
RNAcentral lists this ribosomal RNA (501 nucleotides) under uncultured bacterium. Its description in RNAcentral is "partial 16S ribosomal RNA". It matches the Rfam family "Bacterial small subunit ribosomal RNA", at positions 30 to 523 of the family's 1533-position model. The record is from RNAcentral.